UGGUGGAGUGAUUUGUCUGGUUAAUUCCGUUAACGAACGAGACCUCGACCUGCUAAAUAGUCCGGCUUAUUCUUCGGAAUAGGUGCGUGACUUCUUAGAGGGACUGUCGGCCGCUAGCCGAAGGAAGUUCGAGGCAAUAACA
Molecule: ribosomal RNA, 142 nt
Filed under: uncultured eukaryote
Lineage: Eukaryota
Description: partial 18S ribosomal RNA
Rfam family: Eukaryotic small subunit ribosomal RNA
Source: RNAcentral